UGGAUACUCAGCAGAAAAGAUCAGCCUAGCAGCAAGCGGGGAAUAAUUGAUCAAUUACACUUUAAUAAGGUAAAUGAGAAUGAAAAUCUCACUGAAGUGACUGCAUAACUUUGAGUAAAAGAAGCUCAUUGGACCCUAUCCAGAGCAAGCAAAGUUCAUCAAAGUGGAGCACACUGAAGAUUUCAAGGAAAAAUAGCAAAGAGCUGAAUGGGCAGAUACCCACCAGACAUUAACAAGAGCAAGACUGCUGAACUGAGUCGUACUCUUCAGAUCUUGGAAUUUGAGCUUCAGUCCCAAUAG
Long non-coding RNA from Vombatus ursinus (common wombat), 300 nucleotides. RefSeq lists it as uncharacterized. The transcript is spliced from 3 exons. NCBI's taxonomy places the organism in Eukaryota, Metazoa, Chordata, Mammalia, Diprotodontia, Vombatidae. The record is from RefSeq and is a predicted model, not a curated record.